RNAcentral lists this small RNA (3219 nucleotides) under Pongo abelii (Sumatran orangutan). RNAcentral's name for it is "retained intron". Lineage: Eukaryota; Metazoa; Chordata; Mammalia; Primates; Hominidae. The record is from RNAcentral.
AGUAAUAGUUUCAUUGGUGUUCCAAAUGGAGAAGUAGAAAUGCCACUGAAAGGAAGACGAAUAGGACCUAUUAAGCCAGCAGGACCUGUCACAGCUGUACCCUAUGAUGAUAAAAUAUUUUACAAUAGUGGGCCCAAACGAAGAUCUGGGCCAAUUAAGCCAGAAAAAAUACUAGAAUCAUCUAUUCCUAUGGAGUAUGCAAAAAUGUGGAAACCUGGAGAUGAAUGUUUUGCACUUUAUUGGGAAGACAACAAGUUUUACCGGGCAGAAGUUGAAGCCCUCCAUUCUUCGGGUAUGACAGCAGUUGUUAAAUUCAUUGACUACGGAAACUAUGAAGAGGUGCUACUGAGCAAUAUCAAGCCCAUUCAAACAGAGGCAUGGGUACGUGAUACAUAUUCUGUACAAAGGCAUAAACUAUUUUGAAGAAAAUAUAUAGCUCUAAAGAAUUAGAUAGCCUUACAAAAUGUGCAAGUGGAAUAAUAUUUUGAAUUUACUUAUAACUGGCUACCCCUAAAGUAAGAUUUUAAUUCAAUGCUUACACUGAACUACAAUAAAAAUGAAUGCAUUGAAUUACUUUUCUUGUAUAAUGUUUUGUUGUGUUACGCUUUGGAAAUAGGUGCCCUUAUUUACAGUUUGCCAAAAAUUUGUACAUGUGAAAUGGGUUUUUAUGCAUAUUUUGUUUUUUUCCCAGUUUGUUACUUUGAAUUUUACUAAAUUAUGUCCAGCAGCUGUCAAAUUCAAAUCUCUGUUGGAUGUGCAUAUAUCAUUUAUUAUUUUAGUUACAGGUAAAAUUUAAAAAAACACUUUAAGUUAUAUAUGACUUUACACUGCAUUUACUGCAUAUAUAUUGACGUAUAUAUGUACAGAUUAACUAUAAAUUAUCUGUUUGCUAAUUAUUGGAGUAGUUUUGUUACCAAAUGUUAUGUCAAAGCUGUGUGAUAACUUUGAUGAUGUAACUUAGAACUUACUGACUCAUGGAGUCCAUUUUAUAAAGAACUUAUGUGAUUUUAUAUAGAUUGAUUCUUACAUUUAGGCAAAACAGAAAUACAAGACAUUAGAAUUAGCUCUGAAGUUUUUCGUACUUCUUUCAUUUCUUUAAUUUGUGAGUAGCUGUUAAUAAAUUUAUUGUUAUAAGCCAAUAUCAACAAAUAGGUUGGUAUUUUCCUAAAAUAGCAAAAUAUUCUAGAAAAUUAUAUCAUCCAGAGUAACCUUCAUCAUUGAAGGGUACAUUGUUUUCUCAUGAACUGCUUUUAGUUUUGGUCUUUUAAAAUUUUUCUGUCAUAUCUUCAGUGGUACCCCUUCUCUACCUUCCAAAAAGAGAAAUAAAAUGACAACAGAAAAACAAAAAACCUAAUAGUAGUAAUAAUGUUUUGGGCCAUGGAUCUUUAUUUUUUGCCUUUUUGAUCUAGAGAAAUUAUUUUCUGGAUAAUUUAUUAUUCCAACUUUUACAACAUAAGAUUACUAAUGGCUCAUAUGUUUAAUUAAGAGAUCGUUUCCCUAACUCUUAUCCUCUAAACUUUAAUUGCUCUUUGCCUAACUCCAAAUCAUCAAUAUCUAAUUUACAUCUUUCUUUUCUUGGAGAAAGUUGGUGUGACUAUAUUUUUACUCUUCUGAGAGGUUCUCAUAUGAUGGCUAUUUUCAUUCUCUCUUUUCCAUUAAUACACACAUUUUAAUCUAGUUUUGAUGAUGAAAGUAAUUAUUUAUUGAAUCUGUAUUUCUAGAAGUUGAGUCCUGGUUUGCUGUUUAUUAUGUUCCCAGUUGUUUUUAGCCAUAGCAGUCAAAGAUUCAAAAUACAGUUCUUAUGUUAUUUACUUCUUACUUUUUAGAAGACUUAAUAAGAGAUUAAUUUUCUCUCCCUAAAGAAAAAUUUAGUUUUCUUACAUGGUUUCUUCUCUCCUUCCUUUUGCUGUUCCAGGGUGGCCAUAGCUGAUGAGCACAUUUCUUAUUCCUCACUGUAGCCCUUCUAUUCAGAGGUGUUUGGUCCUGAAGUGAUCAUUUUCUUUCUACAGUCAGUGACUUUUCCUAUUUCUCCCUUAAGAGUCCUCAUUGCUUUAUCCUUGAUUUUAGGUCUGUAUAAACUUAGCUGGACAAUAAAUUUAUCAGGUGUACAACUCAUUUAAUGAUUCUGUUCUGAACUACAGCAAUACUUUCAUAUUCUUGCUACUUAUUUGUGAAUAUUUAUCCUUUAUUAUGUCAUUUAUUAACCUAUUUUCUUUUUCUGCAGUCAACUUAGAAAUCUUUUAUAAAAUAUUUGAAAUACUUUACAGAAAGAAGCAGGAUAGAAUCACUAAAUCUUUUGGAGAUUCUGGUAUUUCUUUUCUCCUACUUUUAUAAUCAAGUGGUUGUUGAUGUUUUAUGAAUUUGCAUAAGUUACUAUAACAGACAUCUCUGGAUCAUGCACAUUAUGAUCAGCCUUUCUUCUUUAUCUGCAUAAAUAAUUAACUUAGUUGAGAGAAAUAUCUCCUCGAAAUAUAGAGGCCACCAGCUUAACAUAUCUCGACCUAUUUCUAUUUUAAAAGCUAUUUGUGUGCAUAUAGAUGUAAAAAAACCCUGAAGAAAUAUAGUCUGUGUUGCUGUCAGUACAUGCAAUGUAGAGUUAAUAUAGAAUUCUCUUAGCCCCUGAGAGUAUUGAAAGUGUUAACGUUGGGGUCUUUGAGUACUUUUUAAAAAUUUUGGUAAGAGGAAACUGUAACAAGUUUUAAGUCAAAAAUGUACAAAAUUAUCAAAAAACAAAACAUUCACUGUACCAAUAAGAAGGUAACUGUAACUGAUAACUCAUACUAGAAAAAUUAAAGGGCUGCAAAGCUGCAGGGAAAUGGUUAGAGAGGCCUUAGCACAAUUACACUAUGGAUUGUGGAGUUUUUAAUUUUUUAACUUGUGCACUGUAUAUGUGCACUACAAUUUUUUUUAUUGUGAAAUGGUAUUGUAUCUUUCAUUAAGAUUUAUGUUUGUAUUGCCACAAGAUUUUGGAAAACUCUUGUUUUCCUAAAUGUAGCAGUGAUCAUUUAGUGAAUAUUUUUUUAAACUAGUUUGCAGAAAAACAGUCAAAAAAGCCUGCAUAUAAGCCAAAAGCCUUUGUAAAAAAUUAGUUGCUUGUGUUGUCUUUUAAAAGUAUAAGCAUAAAUCAUUAAAUAAAAAGCAUGAUAUAUGAAGUGACUCGAUGACUAAGUUAAUAGCUUGUUGUAUGGAAAAUUAAAAUAAAAAUCAAGUUAAUACUUU